UACGUAGGGUGCGAGCGUUGUCCGGAAUUAUUGGGCGUAAAGAGCUCGUAGGCGGUCUGUCGCGUCUGCUGUGAAAUCCCGAGGCUCAACCUCGGGCUUGCAGUGGGUACGGGCAGGCUAGAGUGCGGUAGGGGAGAAUGGAACUCCUGAUGUAGCGGUGGAAUGCGCAGAUAUCAGGAAGAACACCGAUGGCGAAGGCAGUUCUCUGGGCCGUAACUGACGCUGAGGAGCGAAAGCGUGGGGAGCGAACAGG
This 253-nucleotide ribosomal RNA is filed under the name uncultured bacterium. Its description in RNAcentral is "partial 16S ribosomal RNA". It matches the Rfam family "Bacterial small subunit ribosomal RNA", at positions 524 to 776 of the family's 1533-position model. The record is from RNAcentral.